Molecule: long non-coding RNA, 645 nt
Organism: Prionailurus viverrinus (fishing cat)
Lineage: Eukaryota; Metazoa; Chordata; Mammalia; Carnivora; Felidae
Exons: 3
Source: RefSeq, a predicted model, not a curated record
GGAAGCGGUAAAUUCCUGGAUAAUACCAAUAAAUGCAUAAAACCAAGACUGAAUCAUGAAGAAAUGGCAAAACUGACCGACCAAUAACAAAUAAGGAGACGGCAUCAUUAUCAGAAACGUGUCAGAAAGACAAGUCCAAGAAGAGUUGGCUUCACAGGAGGUGAUCACACAGGAGAUGGAAAGUUAACAACAAAACGUGAUAUUUCUGGAGGGAUGAAGUGGCCAAAAGUAACUAUGAAGCUUUAUUUUCACUGAGGCUAAUUUGCAAACCUUGAGAGCAUAUGGAACCCAAAGAUGAUGAUACAAGUAUUCUAACUCACUGGACAUUAUUGACCUUUAAGUAAAAUGGCAUAUAUCAGCUGGUGACCAGAGUGGUCUGUGGCCAUACGUAAAGCCAUCUGUACGUAGAAUUAAGAAAACGAAGGAAAAAGAAUAUAUACAACAACCAACUCGGAGGCUUCAUAUUUACUCAGUUCCAUAUAGGAAAUAGCCAUCGCUCUCCCGGUGGUAAUUCUCCCCCAUCACGUCCUCUAACUCGGGAUGCGUUUGCCACAUUUGCGGUUGUGAGUGUGGCCUCAAUCUGCAAGCUCCCCUCAUGCGCGUCUGCCUUCCCGACCGACCUUUUAAUUCGAAAAGAGACAACGA